Molecule: ribosomal RNA, 464 nt
Filed under: uncultured bacterium
Lineage: Bacteria
Description: partial 16S ribosomal RNA
Rfam family: Bacterial small subunit ribosomal RNA
Source: RNAcentral
GACGAACGCUGGCGGCGUGCUUAACACAUGCAAGUCGAACGGAAAGGCCCUGCUUGCAGGGUACUCGAGUGGCGAACGGGUGAGUAACACGUGGGUGAUCUGCCCUGCACUUCGGGAUAAGCCUGGGAAACUGGGUCUAAUACCGGAUAGGAGCCAUUUUUAGUGUGAUGGUUGGAAAGUUUUUUCGGUGUAGGAUGAGCUCGCGGCCUAUCGGCUUGUUGGUGGGGUAAUGGCCUACCAAGGCGGCGACGGGUAGCCGGCCUGAGAGGGUGGACGGCCACAUUGGGACUGAGAUACGGCCCAGACUCCUACGGGAGGCAGCAGUGGGGAAUAUUGCACAAUGGGCGCAAGCCUGAUGCAGCGACGCCGCGUGGGGGAUGACGGCCUUCGGGUUGUAAACUCCUUUCGCUAGGGACGAAGCUUUUGUGACGGUACCUAGAUAAGAAGCACCGGCUAACUACGUG